UGGAGAGUUGUCCGAGAGGCUGAAGGAGCAUGGUUGGAAACCAUGUAUACGGGUUUUGCCUGUAUCAAGGGUUCGAAUCCCUUACUCUCCGU
This 92-nucleotide transfer RNA is filed under the name Lacticaseibacillus rhamnosus. RNAcentral describes it as "Lactobacillus rhamnosus tRNA-Ser(gga)". It matches the Rfam family "tRNA". Rfam says of the family: Transfer RNA (tRNA) molecules are approximately 80 nucleotides in length. Their secondary structure includes four short double-helical elements and three loops (D, anti-codon, and T loops). The record is from RNAcentral. Lineage: Bacteria; Bacillati; Bacillota; Bacilli; Lactobacillales; Lactobacillaceae.